RNAcentral lists this ribosomal RNA (397 nucleotides) under uncultured bacterium. RNAcentral's name for it is "partial 16S ribosomal RNA". It matches the Rfam family "Bacterial small subunit ribosomal RNA", at positions 523 to 918 of the family's 1533-position model. The record is from RNAcentral.
AUACGUAGGGAGCGAGCGUUGUCCGGAAUUACUGGGUGUAAAGGGUGCGUAGGCGGGACUGCAAGUCAGCUGUGAAAUGCCGGGGCUCAACCCCGGAGCUGCAUUUGAAACUGUGGAUCUUGAGUGAGGUAGAGGGAAGCGGAAUUCCUAGUGUAGCGGUGAAAUGCGUAGAUAUUAGGAGGAACAUCGGUGGCGAAGGCGGAUUGCUGGGCCUUUACUGACGCUGAGGCACGAAAGCGUGGGUAGCAAACAGGAUUAGAUACCCUGGUAGUCCGUGCCGUAAACGAUGAAUGCUAGGUGUAGUGGGUAUCGACUCCCUCUGUGCCGCAGUGAACACAUUAAGUAUUCCACCUGGGGAGUACGGCCGCAAGGUUGAAACUCAAAGGAAUUGACGGGG